UACGUAGGGUGCGAGCGUUAAUCGGAAUUACUGGGCGUAAAGCGUGCGCAGGCGGCGCGUUAAGACAGGUGUGAAAGCCCCGAGCUUAACUUGGGAAUUGCGCUUGUGACUGGCGUGCUGGAGUGUGGCAGAGGGAGGUGGAAUUCCACGUGUAGCAGUGAAAUGCGUAGAUAUUCGGAGGAACACCGAUGGCGAAGGCAGCCACCUGGUUCUUUAUUGACGCUGAGGCGCGAAAGCGUGGGGAUCAAACAGG
This 253-nucleotide ribosomal RNA is filed under the name uncultured bacterium. RNAcentral's name for it is "partial 16S ribosomal RNA". It matches the Rfam family "Bacterial small subunit ribosomal RNA", at positions 524 to 776 of the family's 1533-position model. The record is from RNAcentral.